GAUGAAGAACGCAGCGAAAUGCGAUAAGUAAUGUGAAUUGCAGAAUUCAGUGAAUCAUCGAAUCUUUGAACGCACCUUGCGCUCCUUGGUAUUCCGAGGAGCAUGCCUGUUUGAGUGUCAUUAAAUUCUCAACCUUAUCAGUUUAUUUCUGAUAGUGGCUUGGAUGUGGGGGGUUUCUUGCUGGCUGACGUCGGCUCCCCUUAAAUGGAUUAGCUGGUGCCCCGUGUGGACUGUCUAUUGGUGUGAUAAUUAUCUACAUCUUAGACAUCUGCUGGAAUGCUGCUUUCUAAACCGUACUUGUAUUGACAAUCUUGAACUCAAAUCAGGUAGGACUACACGCUGAACUUAAGCAUAUCAAUAAGCGGAGGA
This 369-nucleotide unclassified non-coding RNA is filed under the name soil metagenome. RNAcentral describes it as "partial contains 5.8S ribosomal RNA, internal transcribed spacer 2, and large subunit ribosomal RNA". The stretch from base 1 to 120 matches the Rfam family "5.8S ribosomal RNA", at positions 35 to 154 of the family's 154-position model. The record is from RNAcentral.